GACGAACGCUGGCGGCGUGCCUAAUACAUGCAAGUCGAGCGGACCGGAUUGGGGCUUGCCUUGAUUCGGUCAGCGGCGGACGGGUGAGUAACACGUGGGCAACCUGCCCGCAAGACCGGGAUAACUCCGGGAAACCGGAGCUAAUACCGGAUAACACCGAAGACCGCAUGGUCUUCGGUUGAAAGGCGGCCUUUGGGCUGUCACUUGCGGAUGGGCCCGCGGCGCAUUAGCUAGUUGGUGAGGUAACGGCUCACCAAGGCGACGAUGCGUAGCCGGCCUGGGAGGGUGACCGGCCACACUGGGACGGAGACACGGCCCAGACUCCUACGGGAGGCAGCAGUAGGGAAUCUUCCGCCAUGGGCGAAAGCCUGACGGAGCGACGCCGCGUGAGCGAAGAAGGCCUUCGGGUCGUAAAGCUCUGUUGUGAGGGACGAAGGAGCGUCGUUCGAAGAGGGCGGCGCGGUGACGGUACCUCACGAGAAAGCCCCGGCUAACUACGUG
Molecule: ribosomal RNA, 501 nt
Filed under: uncultured bacterium
Lineage: Bacteria
Description: partial 16S ribosomal RNA
Rfam family: Bacterial small subunit ribosomal RNA
Source: RNAcentral